CCGUAGCCAAGUUGGCAAGGCACAGGACUGCAAAUCCUUCACCGCGGGUUCGAAUCCCACCGG
Molecule: transfer RNA, 63 nt
Filed under: chicken gut metagenome
Rfam family: tRNA
About the family: Transfer RNA (tRNA) molecules are approximately 80 nucleotides in length.
Source: RNAcentral